RNA transcript from Capsicum annuum, 4690 nucleotides. It is a transcript of the gene named protein HIRA, with no coding region annotated. The transcript has 11 exons. The record is from RefSeq and is a predicted model, not a curated record. Lineage: Eukaryota; Viridiplantae; Streptophyta; Magnoliopsida; Solanales; Solanaceae.
UUCGUACACCUUGAUGACCAGGUUAAAUAUUAAUUUUGACUUCACUUCACCUAUUUUUUUUAGUUAUCACGAAGGUCGAAUCAGCUUUUACAUGCCUCAACUAAAUUGUAAUAAAAUCUUUUUAUUAUCAUCAUAAAAACUUUGACCCCACUUCACCCAUUUACUUCCAAAAUCUAGGGCUUUUUCUAAAUUAAACUCAAUAAAUCAAGUUUUUUUUUUACCAAUUUUAUUUUUUUGGGGUAUUUUUCCUUUUUCUUGUUUUCCUCAACUAGGGUUUUAUCUCUUUAUUUUUUUUCUUGUGGGGUUAAUUUUUUUUUUUUUUUUUAAAGUUGAUUUUUGGGUUAAUUUUGAAGUUGUGGGGUUCUUGUUUUUUUGAAAAAAGUGAUGAUUUUUGGUGUUUAGAGUGAAAAAGAUUGAGUCUUUUUGAUGUUUUAUUAGCAGUAAAAGAAAUCAAGAAUUGGGGUGAAAAAGAUGAUUGCUGAGAAACCUAGUUGGAUUAGACAUGAGGGUAUGCAGAUUUUCUCAAUUGAUAUUCAGCCUGGUGGACUUAGGUUUGCUACUGGUGGUGGUGAUCAUAAGGUUCGUAUAUGGAACAUGAAAUGUGUGGGUAGGGACUUGGCAGCAGCAGAUGAAUUUACAUCAAAACUUCUUGCCACACUACGUGAUCAUUUUGGGUCAGUGAACUGUGUUAGAUGGGCAAAACAUGGUCGAUAUGUUGCUUCUGGCUCUGAUGAUCAGGUGAUUCAAGUCCAUGAGAGGAAACCUGGCUCCGGAACCACAGAGUUUGGCAGUGGAGAGCCUCCUGAUGUAGAGAACUGGAAAGUUACGAUGACAUUGAGAGGACACACUGCAGAUGUGGUCGAUCUAAAUUGGUCUCCAGACGACUCGAUGUUGGCUAGUGGUAGUCUGGAUAACACCAUCCAUAUCUGGAAUAUGAGCAAUGGCAUAUGCACUGCUGUUCUGAGGGGUCACUCUAGUCUUGUUAAAGGUGUCACCUGGGAUCCAAUUGGUUCAUUUAUAGCUAGUCAAUCAGAUGAUAAGACUGUCAUCAUUUGGCGAACAAGUGACUGGAGCCUUGCUCAUAGAACUGAAGGUCACUGGGCAAAAUCUCUUGGGUCAACUUUCUUUAGGCGGCUUGGAUGGUCACCCUGUGGACACUAUGUAACUACUACUCACGGUUUUCAAAAGCCUAGGCAUUCUGCUCCUGUUCUGGAGAGAGGGGAAUGGACUGCCACUUUUGACUUCUUAGGACACAAUGCUCCUGUUAUUGUUGUUAAGUUUAAUCAUUCUAUGUUUCGGAGGAAUUUGGCUAAUGCUCAGGAAGCGAAAAAUGCUUCUCUUGGAUGGUCAAAUGGUUCUGUAAAAAGUGGAGGAAAAGAGUCCCAACCCUACAAUGUUAUUGCUAUAGGAAGUCAAGAUCGCACCAUAACUGUGUGGACUACGGCAAGUCCACGUCCUCUUUUUGUUGCCAAGCAUUUCUUUUCUCAAAGUGUUGUGGAUUUGUCAUGGAGCCCUGAUGGAUAUUCUCUGUUCGCAUGUUCUUUAGAUGGAAGUGCAGCCACUUUCCAUUUUGAUGAAAAUGAACUAGGUCAUCAGCUAUCUGAAGCUGAAUUAGAGGAGUUGAAGAAAAGCCGCUAUGGUGUUGUUAGAGGUCGACAGGCAAAUUUAGCCGAAAGUCCAGCGCAACUGUUGCUUGAAGCAGCAGCUGCAAAGCAAACUUCAAGCAAAAAACUAACUGCAGACCCUGCACAAAUUCAACUAAUGGCAAAGUCUUCUGCUGAUUUGGAUAGUGUGGCGAAGGUUCCCCCACAAUCUGAUAAUGGGAAAAAGGCUGAAGGAGCUAACAGUGACCGUAUAACCAAACCCGCAGCUUCGACGCGGUUGUUAAGUCCGGUGAAGCAAAGGAUGUACAGAAGGGCUGAUGGUCGAAAGAGAAUAAUUCCAGAAGCAGUUGGUUCUCCUACCCCACAGGAAAACACCUCUGGAAUUGCUCAAUCUCCUGUCGUUGAAUUCACUAAUAUGACAGGAGAGCAGAGGAAAGAUGAGAAUGGUGUCGUACUGUCUGAUGCAAGUGUUAGAGAAGGAUUUGCAAGGAAAACAGUCAGCGUCAGUGCUGACCAAAAGGAGCGCUCAAGUGUAACUGCUAGAGCUACCAUCAGUGAGAGCCUCAUCAUUGAGAAGGUUCCUCCUUCUACAGGUAAGGAUGGAAACAUCAGCAUAGAGCAGAUGGGAGUUGUCAAAAAUCCAUCACAUUUGGGUACUAGUGGUACUCUUUUAAUCAGGGUUUUUGAUAAUAAAGAAGGGGAGGACACUGGUCCAGUUUGCUUAGAGGCUCAACCCAGGGAACAAGCUGCCAAUGAUGUUUUAGGGACUGCAAAUUCUUUUGUAAUGAAAGAAACGGAGAUACUUUGUACCAGGGGCGGUCAACCUCUCUGGUCUGACCGGAUUUCUGGAAAAGUUACUGUUUUGGCUGGAAAUGCCAAUUUUUGGGCUGUGGGAUGUGAAGAUGGCUGCGUUCAGAUUUAUACAAAAUGUGGACGACGUGCCAUGCCUACCAUGAUUAUGGGAUCUGCUGCAGUAUUUGUUGAUUGUGAUGAAUCUUGGAAGUUUAUGCUUGUCACAAGGACAGGGUCAUUACAUCUUUGGGAUCUAUUCAACCGGAAGUGUCUCCUUCAAGACUCGUUGGCGUCCCUUAUGACUUCAGAUCCCAAGGCGAAUGCAGGCACAAUCAAAGUGAUAUCAGCAAAGUUAUCAAAAUCUGGUUUUCCUCUUGUUGUCCUCGCCACACGGCAUGCAUACCUCUUCGAUAUGAGUCUCAUGUGCUGGCUGAGGGUUGCAGAUGAUAGCUUUCCGGCUUCGAAUUUUUCAAGCUCCUGGAGUUCGGGCUCAUCACAUGGCGGUGAGCUAGCGGCAUUGCAAGUGGAUGUUAAGAAGUUCCUGGCAAGAAGACCCGGCUGGAGCAGAGUCACUGAUGAUGGGAUACAAACACGUGCUCAUUUGGAGGCUCAGUUGGCUUCUGCUCUUGCUUUGAAGUCUCCUAGUGAAUAUCGUCAAUGCCUUUUAUCCUACGUUCGUUUUUUGGCAAGAGAGGCAGAUGAAUCACGCUUGAGAGAAGUUUGCGAGAACUUUCUUGGGCCUCCCACAGGGAUGGCUGAGGCUUCAUCCUCUAAGUCAAAUAAAUCUGCUUGGGACCCUUGUGUACUUGGUAUGAAAAAGCAAAGACUCCUUAGAGAAGACAUACUUCCGGCAAUGGCAUCAAAUAGAAAAGUACAGCGGCUGCUCAACGAGUUCAUGGAUCUCCUCUCAGAAUAUGAGAUACCUGACACAAAUCUUGACCAGAACAACGUCACAACGACCACAUCAACUGAAAUGAAUCUCAGACAGACCAAUGUUGCAACCACUACAGAUGAAAUGGAUACUGAUACUGAUCACCCUACGACUCAAAGAACAGCUCCCAAGACUCUAGUACCUGACCCAACACCUUCCUCGGCUGUUAAUGACCGAGAGGAUCUUGCUCCUCCUGCAUUACAAUCAACAGAUCGUGUUGAGUCUUCUACACCAUUGAAAAAUCCAAUUCAAGAAAAAACUGAUGAAGCUAAAUCUGUACCACCUCCAACAGAUCAAAUGAAUUUGGAUCCACCUGCAUCAGUUGAAUCGGAACAAUUUCCAUCAGCACACGAGAAGGUAUCUUGACAUCUAAGUUUUCGUAGAUUAGAUGUGAUAGUCACCUUAAAGUACUGCUGACACAACCACCGAUGCUGUGGACUGUAAAAAAGAUCUUCCACAUGCGGCUUCCUGGCUGGAUGUCUUCGGAUGCACCUACAAGGCAUCCAAGCAAGUACUUUGUUGAACAUAACAACAUGGUUGCCAUUUGAGUACACAUUUGUUUACUAUAUGGAUGUACAUCAGUGGUGUCAGAGGCAGACGUAAGCCCUGAAGAGAGGCACAAAAUAUGUCGAGCGCUUUGCCGCACUUGGCCGGUGCUUGAGGUCCUUUGCUUGACUCCGAGUGAAUAGUCUUGAGGGGUAGGGACUAGCAUGGGUAGCUUGACGCAUCUUUUGACCCAGGAGAGGCCUUUGGCCUUGAGAGGUUCAGUCUUUAGCUAACCAGAUGGUUAGGCUUGAUAUUUUGACCCAUCCAUGCUUGUAUCAUUCAAUGUCGUCAUCAAUGCUCUCUUGAUAUAUUUUUCCUUGCCAAUGAGCGUAAUCCUAAAGAAGCGACACUAUAUUAUUCAUUUUAACGUAAUUUUUUUCUUCUCAAGUUUUUGUAUAUAUAUUUAUUAAUCUCAAGACUACCAUGUAUAUUUGUCUUUUGUCUCCAUUGAGCACAUUGAGCACAUGCUUUUUUUGUAUUUUACGCUUAAAGCCCCAAUGGACCCAUGGCUCUUACGUCAGGCGACAAAGGUUGAGGGAGGUUGAUGGACUUAGUGACUGAGGUCUCAGGUUCGAGCCUUGAACUGCGUGAAGUAAGCCGGUAUUCAAGUGGAAAUGGGUUCACUAUAUAUUCCCAAGUUUCGAAAGGUCCUAAGGGUUGACCCAAACGAAUUUCUCUGUCAUUUUAAAAAGAAAAUACAUGGUCGGGUUCAUAGUAGAACAUACUCUGAUAUUAAUGUAGCUCUUAUUUUUUUUGACUUUAACUUUAAUACAACAACGACAUACUCAUUGUAUUCCCACAAGGUGGGGUUUGGAGA